RNAcentral lists this transfer RNA (74 nucleotides) under Perkinsus olseni. RNAcentral describes it as "tRNA-Gly". It matches the Rfam family "tRNA". From Rfam's summary of the family: Transfer RNA (tRNA) molecules are approximately 80 nucleotides in length. Their secondary structure includes four short double-helical elements and three loops (D, anti-codon, and T loops). Lineage: Eukaryota; Perkinsozoa; Perkinsida; Perkinsidae. The record is from RNAcentral.
GCACCGUUGGUCUAAUGGUUAGGAUAUCUGCCUUCCAGAAGCAGAUGGUCCGGGUUCAAUUCCCGGACGGUGCA